Molecule: ribosomal RNA, 121 nt
Organism: Verticillium longisporum
Lineage: Eukaryota; Fungi; Ascomycota; Sordariomycetes; Glomerellales; Plectosphaerellaceae
Source: Rfam
ACAUACGACCAUACCUACUGGAAAGCUCGGGAUCCCGUCCGCUCUCCCACUCGAUAAACCAGUAAGGGCCGGACUAGUAGUCGGGUGGGUGACCACCGGCGAACCCCCGGUGUUGUAUGUU